This 2240-nucleotide long non-coding RNA is filed under the name Heterocephalus glaber (naked mole-rat). Its description in RNAcentral is "lncRNA (ENSHGLG00000040008.1)". Lineage: Eukaryota; Metazoa; Chordata; Mammalia; Rodentia; Bathyergidae. The record is from RNAcentral.
CUCUUCCUUCUUUAGAAAGCAUCGCUGAGCAUUUGUUGUUCCCUAGUGUUGAGGGAAGCGUCUGGUAGCAUUUCAGUUAACGGAAUUUGAGGCACUCUCCUUUCCGUCCGUUUGUUAGAAUCUUGGUUUUAACCGUAAAAUUGCAGCCGUUGAGAGGGCUUGGGUUCUAGCUAGUACGCAGUAGCUACGGUAAGUGACUGGAGACAAAUGCAGACGAGCGCGGAGCUCCAGGCAGCCUCUGGGCCCAGGAUAGCACCUGCGUACACUGUUCCCUAAAUCGGAGGCACUUAGCCUUUCGGGAAACAGAGUCCGGAUCCCCAAUUUGCUGUCUUUUUACCUCUGCCUGCAGGACUUUCUUUAACAUUUCUAGUUGAUAUUUUAUCAGGAAGUUGGUGGAUCUCUACCUGAUUCCUCAGGGUUUAUGUUGUAAAUGAGAGGACCCUUGUGGAUGUGGAAGCUUGCCAGCAUCUUCAGGUGACGGCAGCAAAGUCCAGAGGUAAAGAGGAAACUGUAUGUCCUUAGAUGGGGAUGGAUUCAUUUGGAGAAGUUUCAACUUGGCGAUUCUGUGCAGCAGUCCUGAGGACCGGACCAGCACGGAGAGUACAAGGCUGCCCAGAGCCCUUGUGAAGGUGCCUCCCACCAGAGGAUGAAGACAGGCCCCCUGUGCAGAAGCGGAGGAUGACUCCUGUCCCUGCCAGGCAAUGCAGAGUGAAGAAGUUUGGUAAAUAGUCACAGCCCCUGAGGCGGGUAGAAAUCCAUUUGAACAGCACACAAGCAAUUCAGACUGACAUAUAAGAAGGUCAGAAGACAGUUCUCCUGCCUACUCUGCCAUGGACUAUUUCCCCUCUGCAGUGUCUCUCUGCCAUGGUGCCCUGCCUUGGAGCCAGCUGAUAAUAGAUUGAAACCUCUGCAAACUGUGAGCCAGAAUAAACCUUUCCUCUUUUUAACCUGGGGGUGUUGAGUAUUUUGCCCCAGCAAUAAAAAAUAAGUAAGACAACCAGACCUCCAACUUCCACCUCAAUGGCAGUUUGAAUUAGAAAUGUAAAAUUUAGAACCAAAAUUCUGGUUGCUCAUUGUCCCUCCAUGGACUCCCCAGCUCCGGGAGGAAGUACGAUGUGCUGAUUAUCUUUGGCUUCUUCUGGAAGAGUCUGGAAUCUUCUAGAUUAUCCAAACAAGAGGCUUCUCUGAUCCAUCCCUGGACUGUGAUUGAUGUCAGCUUGGUCUUUGUGCUGAAAUAGCUCACCUUCCCCAGGCCCAGAGAUCCGGAAGGUGGGGAGAGAGACCCUGUCAGCCUUCAUGGGGCCAUUUUUCUAGAUGAGAAUAUUGACACAUUAAGUCACUAGCAGCUACAGUUUCAGUCAACUUACAAAUCCACCGUCAUCUCUUUUUUUUUGGUACUGGGGAUCGAACUCAGGACCUUGUGUUUGUGAGGCAGGUGGCGGCACCACUGAGCUAGAUCCCCAGCCCACCGACCCCUUUAUUCUUAACUGCAGUCCUGAGCCCUCAUUUCCAGUUGUGGUUCACAGACAUUUUGCACCUCACUCCAAAACUCACUCAGGAAGCUUUAGGUUAGACCCAGCUUCCUGCUUUAUAAGAAAGACUGACUUACGGUGAUUAUGCCUGGGGACUAGAGUACCUUGGGAGAAGAUGGAGUGUGUUGUGUGCACUCACACUUUUGCUUUUUCCCUUACUUCACAUCUGCACUUCUUACCACACUGCAAACAUAACUAAACAUCAUGACCAUGAAACCACAUACUCAAUCCCCAAUCCCAUUUCCUUAUGUGUCACUAACAUAUCUGUCCCUAAAUUUGGCUGAUUGCACACAACUUAAGUCUUUGCCUCCUACUCUGUGCAAACCCAUCCGGUAAUGUGUCAAUGGCAGGGUGCCACCCUGAAGUGCAUAUUUGUAAAUGUGCCAUCAUACUGACAAAUACCUGUGACCCUAAAUUUGAAGAUGGAUAGUUAAUUAUUCAGGGGGAGAAAUUCCUCCAGAAGCAGUGGCACAGGGGACAGGAAGAUCUCCCAGGUGGGCUCAGGUCAUAAGCACUGUGGAUAUGAACUAGGAUGAACACAUAGCAAUAAUUCUCUUCCAUUUCUGAAUAUGCAGCCUGUUCCAUUUGAUACCUCCUUGUUCCACAUUCACUUUGUUGUAACUAAAUCCUGACAAACAGUAGAAAUACAACUUUUAGGGAGAAAUGGAAAUUUAUGCCUAGUGGGUAUUCACUGGGGACAAAAAUCAG